CUCCUCAGAAUUAGAAAACACAGCCCCUUCUCCUCCACUACGUGGCUUCUCUGGUUUACUACUUGGCAUUUUGCUUUCACUUUUGCUGCCCAUAGGAGAGCUAACUUUGUUCUGUCAAGACCACUUAGAAUAAGUCCGAGUCAAAUGAUGAUUAUUCAAAUCUGGGAACCGUAUCAAAUGGUUUUUGUAGGUCUCAAGUAGGACAGAUUAUACAGGAUGUUUAUAACAGAAGGCAGGAAUCCUGGUGCAAUUUUAAUAUUAUGCCCACCAUGGCAUGCAAACAGGCCAAGACAUUUAAGAAAUUUCACUUUUUUUCUAGUGUGCCCCCCCCCCCCCCCGUAUGUCUUACAUCACCCAUGCAAGGACAUAAUAACUAAUAUUUCUUUUUUGUGCUAAAUCCUUAAUGUAUUGUGCUUCAUUUAUUUUCUACAGUACUCCUGAGGGCUCUUGAAAUACUUCACAUAUUUUCAAGUAUAGAAACAAAGCUAAGAAAACUUAUGUAGCGUAAUAAAAUGAUGUUGGACCUAAAUUCCUAUGGUAGUUUUGCUCAACUAUAUUGUCUCCCAGUAUUAUUCUUGGUGUGUUAUUCAGUUUAAAUUUCUUGUAAAAUUAGUAUCCAUAUAACUUGUUAGAAACUUGUGAUUUAAUUUGCAAUUUUUAGAUUUGAUGACACGAUUUUUUAAAAAAUCAGCCUUUUAAAGAGACCCUGACCAUCUUUUAUACAGGAAAUUGCAUAGUUUCUUAAAUUUGCUUCAGACUCCUUUAGGAGGAGUAGGGGAGAGAUAGAUUAUCAGUUCAAGGCUUUUAGUGUUUUCAUUUUUUAGAGAGACACUCAAUAUAUAGAUUCAUCUGUCCUGAAACUCCUGAUUCUCCUGUCAUCGCCUCUCAAGUAGUAUGAGAAUAGGCUUGUGUGACCAUUUCUGGCACUUAAAAUGUUUUGUUUUCUACUGUAGAGAUUUGAACACAUUUUCCUGGCACAUGUUAUGCAACUUCUCUACUACCAAACCACACCCUACCCUGACAAUUUUCAAAUCAAGAAUAUUUGUUUCGUUUUUGUGGUUUUGUAUCAACAAUAAAACUAUUUUAUUCUUCACACAAACAUUUCUUUUAUUGGUUUUGUUAUCAUGGGUCAAAGGUAAUUUCUUGGUUUACUACAGUGAUUUCAAAUCCAUGUAGGAUUUUUUAUCUAGAAACCAUAAACGUGGAUUUUUCUCGCUUUGGAUGUGUUCUGUAGGAAUAGUUGAGUCUGUGUUUUUGGCAAAUCUAUGUUGUUAAGGUUGCUAUACCACCAUUGCUUGAAAGAAAUCUAUGAGCAUAACUAUCAAUGACUCCUUUUUUUUUUUUUUUUGUAGGUGAUAGAAAUUGAGGAUGCUUCACCUACUAAGUGUCCAAUAACAACCAAAUUGGUUUUAGAUGAAAAUGAAGAGACCAAAGAACCGUUAGUGCAGGUUCAUAGAAACAUGGUUAUAAAAUUGAAACCCCAUCAAGUAGAUGGUAAGAAGUUAUUAAAUGAUUCAAUCACUUGAGCUAAAUUUUACCUAUGUUUUGUCUUCUUUUUUGCCUAGCAUUUUGCCAAUCACUGGAGAUACAUUGUUGAACAAAAAUGAUAUGAUUCCAGCUGUUACAGAUCUUACAAGGAAGUAAGGAAGAACAAGUUGGGUGUCUGCAAGCGUAGUGUUUUAAGUAGGCAAGAGGUACUACUUACAGUGGGAAUCUGUAUAGCAGGUGGAGUUCUACUACAUAGUGCUUGGCUAGAGCACUUAGGUCUAAGCAUAGUUAACCAAAAGCUUUCUUUGGGAAGUGACAUUUCAACAUGUUCAAGUAAGUGUUUAAUUGGUUUUCCUACAUUAGUAUUACCAACUCAUUCAACUGCCCUACAUACUGGUGGAGUUUUACAUGUGUGUAUGAAGCGCUUCAGAAGGGAAAUAAACAGUUUCUGCAUCUAGGAUUAGCAGCCCCUCUUAUUGUUCUGUUUCUAUUCCUGGACACUUUCUGUUUUCCAAUAUUCCUCUGUCUUCGGCAGCCAUCCCAAGCUGGUGGGAAAUGUGAUAGUUUAGGGUAACUGGACAGACACUCUUAUCUUGCGUGCUUAUGUUUUAUUUCUGAUUUACUUAAGGAGAAGAAAACAAUUCUGAUUGCAUUUAAGAUUUUUUUUUAGCUCCAAGUGUUGUUCCUUGGGUGCUUGAGAGAUGGCUCAGUGGCUCAGAGUACUUACAGUAAAUCUUCAGAAACAAAAUGAAAGUCUGCUGUUUCUUGGAAGUUUUGGUUUCUCAUUCUUAGGUGUUCAGUUUAUGUGGGAUUGCUGCUGUGAGUCUGUGGAAAAGACAAAGAAGUCCCCAGGUUCAGGAUGUAUUCUUGCCCACUGCAUGGGCCUUGGUAAGACCCUCCAGGUAAGAGCUAUAGGAAAUAAACCUAUCCAUUUUUGCACAUAUAUUUAAUUCUGUUGUGUGUUAGGUAGGCUGUGGAGGGAGAUUCAGCAGUAAAAAAGAAGGACAAGAUUCUUAAGUAUUGAAUAUUGUGGUGGAGAAUGAAAUUUUAAAAUGUGCUUUCUGAUUCUGUGUUUAAAUGGGAGGACUGAGAGGGCCAUCAUUUUUAAAGAGGUGGUGAUGGUAUGUGUGCAUACAUAUAUGUCUAUAAUAACAAUGGGAUAAUGGCAAUGAAUUGGAAAGAGAGCAUGACAAGGUGUAUGUGGAAAUUCAAAGGGAGGAGAGGGAAGGAGGAAAUGAUACAAGUGUAUUAUAAUCUCAAAUAAAAGGGAAAAACCCACAAACAUUUCUGAUAGAAUUAUUUAAAAAAAGCAAUGUUUAUGCAAAGAUGCUGAUGUAGUUGAAGCAGUGUGGUUGCAGGUAUGGCUACCUUCCACUUCAAGGAUACAUGAAUUUAACUUAUUUUUCAACUUUUAUUAGUCUGAUGGUAAUGAGAAUGUAAAGUCUUCUUUAGUAUUAAAGCUGCUUCAUUUCUUGGACUGGGUUUAACAUUAUAUUUACGUUACUUGUAUUUUCUGUGUGUUGGAAAUUAUGAUCUUUAGUUGGCUGGCUUAGUGUUUAAUGUAAAAAUAAGUCAUGAUUCCUUAAUUUUAUUUUUAAAUUUUUUUGUGGAUAUUUAAAUGAACAUGUAACUUUACUUUCUUAUAGGUGGUUAGUUUUCUUCACACAGUUCUUCUGUGUGACAAAUUGGAUUUCAGUACAGCUUUAGUGGUUUGUCCUCUUAACACUGCUUUGAAUUGGAUGAAUGAAUUUGAGAAGUGGCAGGAGGGAUUAAAUGAUAAUGAAAAACUUGAGGUAUCUGAGUUAGCAACUGUGAAACGUCCUCAGGAGAGAAGUUAUAUGCUACAGAGAUGGCAAGAAGAUGGUGGUGUUAUGAUCAUAGGGUAUGAAAUGUACAGAAAUCUCGCUCAAGGAAGAAAUGUGAAAAGUCGGAAACUUAAAGACAUAUUUAAUAAAGCUUUAGUUGACCCAGGUAUGUUACUACUAGUUCUGACUUUACGAAGCUAGUUGAAAUUUUAUGUUUAUCUUUAAGAGUUUCUAAUUGAGCCAGGCAUUCUGGCUGGCACACACCUUUAAUCCGAGCACUGUGGAAGCAGAGGUGGGCCAAUAUCUGAGUUUGAUGCCAUCCUGGUCUACUGAACAAGGUUCAGGACAGCUAGAGCUACACAGAGAAACCCUGUGUUAAACAGACAAAAACAUUACAAAUAAUUGGACAUUUAUUAAGUACUUGCUAACAGUCUCCUUUGUCCUUGAGAUUUUAUUAUUCAUACUGAUAAUUUAAAUAAUAUAAAACUAUCCUUAAUGCUUCUAGCUGUUCCGAGUUUCAGUGUUUGGGGAUCUAUGGUUGAUGUAUUAUUAGAGAAUUGUAAACUCCUGAAUGGUAUCAAGCAUUUCAGCAGAUUUUUUUUUGUCACAAGAUUUCUUGGGGACACUUUCAAACAAUAGUCUUAAAAACCAGGCGCUGGACAGGCAGACAGCUACUCAGCUGCUUAAGCUUGCCCACAAGUACAGGCCAGAGACAAUGCAAGAGAAGAAGCAAAGGCUACUGGCCCGUGCUGAGAAGAAAGCUGCUGGCAAAGGUGACGUCCCAACUAAGAGGCCACCUGUCCUCCGAGCAGGAGUCAAUACAGUCACCACCUUGGUGGAGAACAAGAAGGCUCAGCUGGUGGUGAUUGCCCAUGACGUAGACCCCAUUGAGCUGGUGGUUUUCCUACCUGCCCUGUGCUGAAAGAUGGGGGUGCCCUACUGCAUCAUCAAGGGAAAGGCCAGGCUGGGGCACCUGGUCCACAGGAAGACAUGCACCACUGUUGCCUUCACACAGGUUAACUCGGAAGACAAGGGUGCUCUGGCUAAGCUGGUAGAAGCUAUUAGGACCAAUUAUAAUGACAGAUAUGACGAGAUCCGUCGCCACUGGGGAGGCAACGUCCUGGGUCCUAAGUCUGUGGCUCGCAUUGCCAACCUGGAAAAAGCAAAGGCUAAAGAACUCACCACUAAAUUGGGUUAAAUGUACACUAAGUUUUCUGUACCUAAAUAUAAUUACAAAAUUAAAAAAAACCAAAAAACAAAAAACGAGGCACAGGUUGGAGAGAUGGCUCAGAGGUUAAGAGCACUGACUGCUCUUCUAGAGGUCCUGAGUUCAAUUCCCAGCAACCACAUGGUGCCUCACAACCAUCUGUAAUGGGAUCUGAUGGCCUCUUCUGGUGUGUCUGAAGAUAGUUAUAGUGUACUCAUAUAAAUAAAAUAAGUAAUAAAA
This is an RNA transcript of Mus musculus (house mouse), 4740 nucleotides long. It is a transcript of the gene named predicted gene 14853, with no coding region annotated. Lineage: Eukaryota; Metazoa; Chordata; Mammalia; Rodentia; Muridae. The transcript has 2 exons. The record is from RefSeq and is marked validated.